GGUUCCCCGUGAUUUUCAAGAUAUCGGAAACAACAAAGCAAGGCCUCCCUCAUGGGAUUCAGAUUCCUACCGCGGACCUUUCAGAGGAAAGGCUGGUGGGUCCCUGCGCGGGAGUUCCCGGGAGGGUGAGCAGGCGGACGCUUCGCCCCUGAGAUGCUGACCCCGGACUCGGCUUGCCUCACAGAAACGUUUCUACGUGUCCCUGCUUCCUCCUCUGGUUCCGUUCGUCUCCGUCCUCACUGGUGUCCCCCGUGCGUCACACUGAGCUGAUUGCUGACAUGGAA
Molecule: long non-coding RNA, 284 nt
Organism: Hyaena hyaena (striped hyena)
Lineage: Eukaryota; Metazoa; Chordata; Mammalia; Carnivora; Hyaenidae
Exons: 3
Source: RefSeq, a predicted model, not a curated record